AUUGAACGCUGGCGGCAGGCCUAACACAUGCAAGUCGAGCGGAUGAAGGGAGCUUGCUCCUGGAUUCAGCGGCGGACGGGUGAGUAAUGCCUAGGAAUCUGCCUGGUAGUGGGGGAUAACGUCCGGAAACGGGCGCUAAUACCGCAUACGUCCUGAGGGAGAAAGUGGGGGAUCUUCGGACCUCACGCUAUCAGAUGAGCCUAGGUCGGAUUAGCUAGUUGGUGGGGUAAAGGCCUACCAAGGCGACGAUCCGUAACUGGUCUGAGAGGAUGAUCAGUCACGCUGGAACUGAGACACGGUCCAGACUCCUACGGGAGGCAGCAGCGGGGAAUAUUGGACAAUGGGCGAAAGCCUGAUCCAGCCAUGCCGCGUGUGUGAAGAAGGUCUUCGGAUUGUAAAGCACUUUAAGUUGGGAGGAAGGGCAGUAAGUUAAUACCUUGCUGUUUUGACGUUACCAACAGAAUAAGCACCGGCUAACUUCGUG
This 484-nucleotide ribosomal RNA is filed under the name uncultured bacterium. Its description in RNAcentral is "partial 16S ribosomal RNA". It matches the Rfam family "Bacterial small subunit ribosomal RNA", at positions 30 to 507 of the family's 1533-position model. The record is from RNAcentral.